Molecule: ribosomal RNA, 1806 nt
Filed under: Triticum aestivum (bread wheat)
Lineage: Eukaryota; Viridiplantae; Streptophyta; Magnoliopsida; Poales; Poaceae
Description: partial small subunit ribosomal RNA
Source: RNAcentral
AUGGACGACGAGGAUUACUCGUGGGUGCGGCGGACGAGGUUCUCCCAUUCCGUCGUCCGCUCCAACUCCGGCAGGGAGCAGUUCGGCGCCUUCGUCGAGCAGUUCAACCGCGGCGCCGCGCUCAGGCAGAACAAGGGCUCCGACUCAGGGUUCAAGCUCCACGGCAUGAACUUCGAGCCCAGGACCAAAGCCUCCGCCACCACCAACCCGGUCCCCAUUCCAAGGACAAGGUCGCUGAGUGCCCAGCCCAAGACGGACCUCAACCAUGCCUUCUCCAACGCCAUACCGGUGCAUCAUCACGAGAAGCCUGCCGAUCACGGUCACCCGCCGCAGUCAGCACCGACCAACAACUCUGCCAACGGAACGAGGGGCCGCAACAACCUCUUCGUCGACGUCUGCUCCGAGCCCGAGGUUCAGGACCCGAGCAAGGCCGACAGCCCUGGGCCUCUCGAGUUCUCCUUCCACCCAGACGAGCAGAGCAUGAGGCUGCAAAGGGUGUGCUCCAGCCCGUCUCCUUUCCCGGCCAAGAAAGCGCCGGUCUUGGACGCGCCGCGGCCGCCGGUGCGCAGUUCGUCGCUCAGGGUCCUCCCAGAGGGGCGCACGACGCGGAUGCUGAGGGCGAGGUCCCCUCUCCCAAGCCGUCCCGUGCCUGAGGUGUUCAAGGAGGCCAAAUCAGCCAGCAAGAGGUUCUCCACGCCGCCGCCGCGCCGGAAAUCUUCGUCCCCGCCACGCGCGCCGCCGGCGGACGCGCCACUCAAGGCGCCGGCCAAGGUGAAGCACCACAGGAAGGAGCACUGGGACAACCAAAGGGCCAAGGCGGCCGCAGAGAAGGUGCUCGAAACUUGGACGGUGGAUCGCAAGCAGCUCCUCAUCGGGCAGAAGUUCGCCUACGGGGCGCACAGCCGUCUGUUCCAUGGAAUCUACAAGGAGGUGCCCGUUGCUGUCAAGUUCAUCAGGCAGCCUGACGUCGAGGAAGAUGCGGAGCUGGCAUCUCAGCUCGAGAAGCAGUUCAACACGGAGGUUGUCACAUUGUCCCGCCUCCAGCAUCGAAACGUCAUUAAGCUGGUUGGAGCAUGCACCAGUCCGCCGGUCUUCUGCGUCAUCACCGAGUUCCUUUCUGGUGGUUCGUUGAGAUCAUUCUUGCACAAGCAAGAGCACAGAUCUCUGCCUUUGGACAAGAUCAUUUCAGUUGGCUUGGAUAUCGCACACGGCAUGGGGUACGUCCACUCGCAAGGAAUCGUACAUCGUGACGUGAAACCGGAUAACAUCAUAUUUGACGGGGAAUGCUGCGCGAAGAUUGUCGAUUUUGGAAUAGCCUGCGAAGAAGCCUACUGUGACCCUCUGGCGAACGAUCCCGGGACCUUCAGAUGGAUGGCUCCGGAGAUGAUGAAGCACAAACCCUAUGGUCGGAAGGUCGAUGUUUACAGCUUCGGCCUUAUCUUGUGGGAAAUGCUUACCGGCUCCGUGCCUUAUGAAGAUUUGACUCCGUUCCAAGCAGCCUUUGCUGUUUUUGACAAGAAUGUGAGGCCGGCCAUUCCCGGCACCUGCCCAGCUGCAUUACGGGUUCUGAUCGAGCAGUGUUGGGCCUUGCAAGCAGAUAAAAGGCCUGAAUUCUGGCAAAUAGUUCAAUUACUGGACAAGUUCAAGAUGGUUCUUGAAAGAGAUGGAACACUUGACAAUAUGCCAAGCUCAAACUGCCAGGAGAAUCAUGAUCCCAAGAAAUGGCUAGCCCACUGGCUCCACAAGCUCAAGCAUCCCCAUCAUCAUCAUGAUCUCUCUGGACCUCCACCACCAAAACUUCUGUAA